Molecule: ribosomal RNA, 747 nt
Filed under: uncultured bacterium
Lineage: Bacteria
Description: bacterial SSU rRNA
Rfam family: Bacterial small subunit ribosomal RNA
Source: RNAcentral
AGAGUUUGAUCCUGGCUCAGGAUGAACGCUGGCGGUCUGCUUAACACAUGCAAGUCGAACGAAUCCCUUCGGGGAUUAGUGGCGGACGGGUGAGUAACGCGUGAGAAUCUACCAAAAGGACUGGGACAACCACUGGAAACGGUGGCUAAUACCGGAUGAGCCGCAACGUAAAAGAGGAAACUCGCCUUUUGAAGAGCUCGCGUCUGAUUAGCUAGUUGGUGAGGUAAAGGCUCACCAAGGCGGCGAUCAGUAGCUGGUCUGAGAGGAUGAUCAGCCACACUGGGACUGAGACACGGCCCAGACUCCUACGGGAGGCAGCAGUGGGGAAUUUUCCGCAAUGGGCGAAAGCCUGACGGAGCAAGACCGCGUGAGGGAGGAAGGCUCUUGGGUUGUAAACCUCUUUUGUCAGGGAAGAACACAAUGACGGUACCUGAAGAAUCAGCAUCGGCUAACUCCGUGCCAGCAGCCGCGGUAAUACGGAGGAUGCAAGCGUUAUCCGGAAUUAUUGGGCGUAAAGCGUCCGCAGGUGGCACUUCAAGUCUGCUGUCAAAGACCGGGGCUUAACCCUGGAAAGGCAGUGGAAACUGAAGCGCUAGAGUGUGGCAGGGGUAGAGGGAAUUCCCGGUGUAGCGGUGAAAUGCGUAGAGAUCGGGAAGAACAUCGGUGCGAAAGCGCUCUACUGGGCCACAACUGACACUCAGGGACGAAAGCUAGGGGAGCGAAUGGGAUUAGAUACCCUAGUAGUCC